CGAAUGCUGACAUAAGUAACGAUAAAGCGGGUGAAAAGCCCGCUCGCCGGAAGACCAAGGGUUCCUGUCCAACGUUAAUCGGGGCAGGGUGAGUCGACCCCUAAGGCGAGGCCGAAAGGCGUAGUCGAUGGGAAACAGGUUAAUAUUCCUGUACUUGGUGUUACUGCGAAGGGGGGACGGAGAAGGCUAUGUUGGCCGGGCGACGGUUGUCCCGGUUUAAGCGUGUAGGCUGGUUUUCCAGGCAAAUCCGGAAAAUCAAGGCUGAGGCGUGAUGACGAGGCACUACGGUGCUGAAGCAACAAAUGCCCUGCUUCCAGGAAAAGCCUCUAAGCAUCAGGUAACAUCAAAUCGUACCCCAAACCGACACAGGUGGUCAGGUAGAGAAUACCAAGGCGCUUGAGAGAACUCGGGUGAAGGAACUAGGCAAAAUGGUGCCGUAACUUCGGGAGAAGGCACGCUGAUAUGUAGGUGAAGUCCCUCGCGGAUGGAGCUGAAAUCAGUCGAAGAUACCAGCUGGCUGCAACUGUUUAUUAAAAACACAGCACUGUGCAAACACGAAAGUGGACGUAUACGGUGUGACGCCUGCCCGGUGCCGGAAGGUUAAUUGAUGGGGUCAGCGCAAGCGAAGCUCUUGAUCGAAGCCCCGGUAAACGGCGGCCGUAACUAUAACGGUCCUAAGGUAGCGAAAUUCCUUGUCGGGUAAGUUCCGACCUGCACGAAUGGCGUAAUGAUGGCCAGGCUGUCUCCACCCGAGACUCAGUGAAAUUGAACUCGCUGUGAAGAUGCAGUGUACCCGCGGCAAGACGGAAAGACCCCGUGAACCUUUACUAUAGCUUGACACUGAACAUUGAGCCUUGAUGUGUAGGAUAGGUGGGAGGCUUUGAAGUGUGGACGCCAGUCUGCAUGGAGCCGACCUUGAAAUACCACCCUUUAAUGUUUGAUGUUCUAACGUGGACCCGUGAUCCGGGUUGCGGACAGUGUCUGGUGGGUAGUUUGACUGGGGCGGUCUCCUCCUAAAGAGUAACGGAGGAGCACGAAGGUUGGCUAAUCCUGGUCGGACAUCAGGAGGUUAGUGCAAUGGCAUAAGCCAGCUUGACUGCGAGCGUGACGGCGCGAGCAGGUGCGAAAGCAGGUCAUAGUGAUCCGGUGGUUCUGAAUGGAAGGGCCAUCGCUCAACGGAUAAAAGGUACUCCGGGGAUAACAGGCUGAUACCGCCCAAGAGUUCAUAUCGACGGCGGUGUUUGGCACCUCGAUGUCGGCUCAUCACAUCCUGGGGCUGAAGUAGGUCCCAAGGGUAUGGCUGUUCGCCAUUUAAAGUGGUACGCGAGCUGGGUUUAGAACGUCGUGAGACAGUUCGGUCCCUAUCUGCCGUGGGCGCUGGAGAACUGAGGGGGGCUGCUCCUAGUACGAGAGGACCGGAGUGGACGCAUCACUGGUGUUCGGGUUGUCAUGCCAAUGGCACUGCCCGGUAGCUAAAUGCGGAAGAGAUAAGUGCUGAAAGCAUCUAAGCACGAAACUUGCCCCGAGAUGAGUUCUCCCUGACCCUUUAAGGGUCCUGAAGGAACGUUGAAGACGACGACGUUGAUAGGCCGGGUGUGUAAGCGCAGCGAUGCGUUGA
This 1618-nucleotide ribosomal RNA is filed under the name Escherichia coli. RNAcentral's name for it is "partial 23S ribosomal RNA". It matches the Rfam family "Bacterial large subunit ribosomal RNA", at positions 1291 to 2889 of the family's 2925-position model. Lineage: Bacteria; Pseudomonadati; Pseudomonadota; Gammaproteobacteria; Enterobacterales; Enterobacteriaceae. The record is from RNAcentral.